Molecule: ribosomal RNA, 1833 nt
Filed under: Clostridium baratii
Lineage: Bacteria; Bacillati; Bacillota; Clostridia; Eubacteriales; Clostridiaceae
Description: 23S ribosomal RNA
Rfam family: Bacterial large subunit ribosomal RNA
Source: RNAcentral
AUUUCUAAGACAACUAGGAUGUUGGCUUAGAAGCAGCCACUCAUUGAAAGAGUGCGUAAUAGCUCACUAGUCGAGAGAUCCUGCGCCGAAAAUGUAACGGGGCUAAACUUACCACCGAAGCUACGGGUUCACACAAUAGUGUGAGCGGUAGAGGAGCGUUGUAAUCGGGCUGAAGUCGUACCGUAAGGAGCGGUGGACUGAUUACAAGUGAGAAUGUUGGCAUCAGUAGCGAGAUGUAGGUGAGAAUCCUACAGGCCGAAUAUCUAAGGUUUCCUCAGGAAGGUUCGUCCGCUGAGGGUUAGUCGGGACCUAAGCCGAGGCCGAAAGGCGUAGGUGAUGGACAAUCGGUUGAUAUUCCGAUACCACUAUAAUCGUUAUUAUCGAUGGUGUGACGGAGAAGGAUAGGAUGUGCUAACUAUUGGAUGUUAGUCUAAGCGUUUAGGGAGUUAGAGUAGGCAAAUCCGCUUUAACAAUCCUGAGGCGUGAUGGGGAAGGUUCCACGGAACCGAAGUAUCUGAUUCCAUGCUUCCAAGAAAAGCAUCUAGAGAGAGAAGUAGUGCCCGUACCGCAAACCGACACAGGUAGAUGAGGAGAGAAUCCUAAGGCCGGCGGAAGAAUUGCAGUUAAGGAACUAGGCAAAUUGACCCCGUAACUUCGGGAGAAGGGGUGCCUACGAGAGUAGGUCGCAGAGAAUAGGCCCAAGCAACUGUUUAGCAAAAACACAGGUCUCUGCUAAAGCGAAAGCUGAUGUAUAGGGGCUGACGCCUGCCCGGUGCUGGAAGGUUAAGGGGAACACUUAGCGCAAGCGAAGGUGUGAACUUAAGCCCCAGUAAACGGCGGCCGUAACUAUAACGGUCCUAAGGUAGCGAAAUUCCUUGUCAGGUAAGUUCUGACCCGCACGAAUGGCGUAAUGACUUGGGCACUGUCUCAACUGCAAAUCCGGCGAAGUUGUAGUGCGAGUGAAGAUGCUCGCUACCCGCGAUUGGACGGAAAGACCCCGUAGAGCUUUACUGUAGCUUAGCAUUGAAUUUCGGUAUUAUCUGUACAGGAUAGGUGGGAGACUGGGAAAUUAGGACGUCAGUCCUAAUGGAGUCGUCCUUGGGAUACCACCCUGAUAUUACUGGAAUUCUAACUGGACGCCAUGAAUCUGGUGACAGGACAUUGUUAGGUGGGCAGUUUGACUGGGGCGGUCGCCUCCUAAAAAGUAACGGAGGCGCCCAAAGGUUCCCUCAGAACGGUCGGAAAUCGUUCGUAGAGUGCAAAGGCAGAAGGGAGCCUGACUGCGACACCCACAAGUGGAGCAGGGACGAAAGUCGGGCUUAGUGAUCCGGUGGUACCUCGUGGGAGGGCCAUCGCUCAACGGAUAAAAGCUACCUCGGGGAUAACAGGCUGAUCUCCCCCAAGAGUUCACAUCGACGGGGAGGUUUGGCACCUCGAUGUCGGCUCGUCGCAUCCUGGGGCUGAAGUAGGUCCCAAGGGUUGGGCUGUUCGCCCAUUAAAGCGGCACGCGAGCUGGGUUCAGAACGUCGUGAGACAGUUCGGUCCCUAUCCGUCGCGGGCGUAGGAAAUUUGAGAGGAGCUGUCCUUAGUACGAGAGGACCGGGAUGGACUGACCUCUGGUGUACCAGUUGUUCUGCCAAGAGCAUAGCUGGGUAGCUAAGUCGGGAAGGGAUAAACGCUGAAAGCAUCUAAGCGUGAAGCCCACCUCAAGAUGAGAUUUCCCAUAGCAUAAGCUAGUAAGACCCCUUGAAGAACACAAGGUUGAUAGGUCAGAGGUGUAAGCAUGGUAACAUGUUCAGCUGACUGAUACUAAUAGGUCGAGGGCUUGACCAA